UCGACGGUGACCUCGAAAACGACCUUGGUUAGAAACUCAAUUGUUGGGUUGCCUAAAAGCUGCUGUUUUUUGCAUUUUCCUGCUCAUUUUAGUGGUUAAAACUUGGAGUUCAUGGGCUAAGGAUGGAGUUUAAGUUGUAGCUCUUUUGUGAUAAUAGAAGCUGGUUUUUUCGGGCUAUCUCUCUGUCUUUUGGCGAGGGAUUUGAGAUCAUUUUUGGACUAUUCUUUGCUGGGUCUUAGGGAUGUUUAUAGGGCUGAAAUUAGAGGUGGAUGUUAAUGGAGGUUUUGUGA
RNAcentral lists this long non-coding RNA (290 nucleotides) under Nicotiana benthamiana. RNAcentral describes it as "long non-coding RNA (NBEN_LNC034754)". Lineage: Eukaryota; Viridiplantae; Streptophyta; Magnoliopsida; Solanales; Solanaceae. The record is from RNAcentral.